CGGGCGCGGCGCUGGUCUAAGUCCCUUGGAACGGGGCGUCAUAGAGGGUGAGAAUCCCGUAUGUGACCGGUGACCAAGCCCAUGUGAAACUCCUUCGACGAGUCGAGUUGUUUGGGAAUGCAGCUCAAAAUGGGUGGUAAAUUUCAUCUAAAGCUAAAUACCGGCCAGAGACCGAUAGCGCACAAGUAGAGUGAUCGAAAGAUGAAAAGCACUUUGGAAAGAGAGUCAAAAAGUACGUGAAAUUGUUGAAAGGGAAGCGCUUGCAACCAGACCUGUCCGCGGGCGAUCAGCCGUCCUUAUGGGCGGUGCACGCGCUCGUGAUCAGGCCAGCAUCGGUUCGGGCGGCCGGAUAAAGGCCCUAGGAACGUAGCUCCUCUCGGGGAGUGUUAUAGCCUAGGGUGCAAUGCGGCCAGCCGGGACCGAGGACCGCGCUUCGGCUAGGAUGCUGGCGUAAUGGUUGUAAGCGGCCCGUCUUGAAACACGGACCAAGGAGUCUAACAUCUAUGCGAGUGUUUGGGUGUUAAACCCAUACGCGGAAUGAAAGUGAACGGAGGUGGGAACCCUUUAGGGCGCACCAUCGACCGAUCCAGAUGUCAUCGGAUGGAUUUGAGUACGAGCAUAGCUGUUGGGACCCGAAAGAUGGUGAACUAUGCCUGAAUAGGGUGAAGCCAGAGGAAACUCUGGUGGAGGCUCGCAGCGGUUCUGACGUGCAAAUCGAUCGUCAAAUUUGGGUAUAGGGGCGAAAGACUAAUCGAACCAUCUAGUAGCUGGUUCAG
This 776-nucleotide ribosomal RNA is filed under the name Nevilleiella lateritia. RNAcentral's name for it is "eukaryotic LSU rRNA". It matches the Rfam family "Eukaryotic large subunit ribosomal RNA", at positions 165 to 959 of the family's 3401-position model. RNAcentral also lists the same sequence under 1 other name. Lineage: Eukaryota; Fungi; Ascomycota; Lecanoromycetes; Teloschistales; Teloschistaceae. The record is from RNAcentral.